GCCCAGGUGGUGGAAUGGCAGACACGCAGGACUCAAAAUCCUGUGCUCGCAAGAGCAUGCGAGUUCGACUCUCGCCCUGGGCA
This 83-nucleotide transfer RNA is filed under the name Candidatus Berkelbacteria bacterium CG2_30_39_44. RNAcentral's name for it is "tRNA-Leu". It matches the Rfam family "tRNA". Rfam says of the family: Transfer RNA (tRNA) molecules are approximately 80 nucleotides in length. Their secondary structure includes four short double-helical elements and three loops (D, anti-codon, and T loops). The record is from RNAcentral. Lineage: Bacteria; Candidatus Berkelbacteria. RNAcentral also lists the same sequence under 6 other names.